RNAcentral lists this non-coding RNA (79 nucleotides) under Nodularia spumigena UHCC 0039. RNAcentral's name for it is "Photosynthesis regulatory RNA1". It matches the Rfam family "Photosynthesis regulatory RNA1". From Rfam's summary of the family: Formerly known as Syr1 discovered in Synechocystis sp PCC 6803, is a regulatory factor controlling photosynthetic functions. PsrR1 interacts with the ribosome binding regions of several photosynthesis-related mRNAs. In particular, psaL mRNA is processed by RNase E only in the presence of PsrR1. The record is from Rfam by way of RNAcentral. Lineage: Bacteria; Bacillati; Cyanobacteriota; Cyanophyceae; Nostocales; Nodulariaceae.
AUGAAAUUGUCAACUUAGGACUUGCUCAUCGUCAUUUGGACUUCUCCUUUCAACCUCGGUUAGUUUCGCCGGGGUUUUU